AUUGAACGCUGGCGGCGUGCUUAACACAUGCGAGUCGUGCGAGAAAGGGGACUUCGGUCCCUGAGUAGAGCGGCGCACGGGUGAGUAACGCGUGGAUCACCUACCCGGAUGUUCGGGAUAACGGCGGGAAACUGCCGCUAAUACCGGAUAAGCUCCAAUUUCGGUUGGGGGAGAGGCGGCCUCUGUUUACAAGCUGUCGCGUCCGGAUGGGUCCGCGGCCCAUUAGCUUGUUGGUAGGGUAACGGCCUACCAAGGCUACGAUGGGUAGCUGGUCUGAGAGGAUGAUCAGCCACACUGGAACUGAAACACGGUCCAGACUCCUACGGGAGGCAGCAGUGGGGAAUAUUGCGCAAGGGGGGAAACCCUGACGCAGCGACGCCGUGUGAGGGAAGAAGGCUUUCGGGUCGUAAACCUCUGGCAGAAAGGAAGAACCUCCCGGGACCGAACAGGCCUCGGGACUGACGGUACUUUCAAAGGAAGCACCGGCUAACUCCGUGCCAGCAGCCGCCGUAA
Molecule: ribosomal RNA, 513 nt
Filed under: uncultured bacterium
Lineage: Bacteria
Description: partial 16S ribosomal RNA
Rfam family: Bacterial small subunit ribosomal RNA
Source: RNAcentral